GAUUUCUAAAGUGCUCCACCUCCACCACCUGUCAUCAGAUGGGGGCUGCGGCUGGGAGAACGCUCAUCCUCCUGAGAGCAGCUGUGGACUGAAUGGUGAAGGGCAGCAGCCACGGGAGCAGAGGCAGGCACAGGUUUGAAGAAAGAGACAUUUAUUUAAGGGAAAGCAGAGUUGCAUCCUUUGCUUUGGACUUGGAGCACCUUGAAGAGCUGUGGCCAGGGUAAGUCUUCUUCCAUUCAACCUUCCCUAGC
This 251-nucleotide long non-coding RNA is filed under the name Ictidomys tridecemlineatus (thirteen-lined ground squirrel). RNAcentral describes it as "lncRNA (ENSSTOG00000031067.1)". Lineage: Eukaryota; Metazoa; Chordata; Mammalia; Rodentia; Sciuridae. The record is from RNAcentral.